This 484-nucleotide ribosomal RNA is filed under the name uncultured bacterium. Its description in RNAcentral is "partial 16S ribosomal RNA". It matches the Rfam family "Bacterial small subunit ribosomal RNA", at positions 29 to 507 of the family's 1533-position model. The record is from RNAcentral.
AUUGAACGCUGGCGGCAUGCUUUACACAUGCAAGUCGAACGGCAGCGCGGGCUUCGGCCUGGCGGCGAGUGGCGAACGGGCGAGUAAUGCACCGGAACGUGCCCAGUCGUGGGGGAUAGCCCGGCGAAAGCCGGAUUAAUACCGCAUACGACCUGAGGGUGAAAGCGGGGGACCGAAAGUCCUCGCGCGAUUGGAGCGGCCCAUGUCGGAUUAGCUAGUUGGUGGGGUAAAGGCUUACCAAGGCGACGAUCCGUAGCUGGUCUGAGAGGACGACCGGCCACACUGGGACUGAGACACGGUCCAGACUCCUACGGGAGGCAGCAGUAGGGAAUUUUGGGCAAUGGGGGCAACCCUGACCCAGCCAUGCCGCGUGCGGGAAGAAGGCCUUCGGAUUGUAAACCGCUUUUGUUAGGGAAGAAAAACUCUGGGCGAAUACACCGGGGGGAUGACGGUACCGGAAGAGAAAGCACCGGCUAACUACGUG